UAGGGGAUAGAAUAAUUGGUAGUUUAAAGGACUCAUGAUCCUUUGGUGUGGGUUCGAAUCCUACUCCCCUAA
RNAcentral lists this transfer RNA (72 nucleotides) under Heterostelium pallidum. Its description in RNAcentral is "tRNA-Met". It matches the Rfam family "tRNA". Rfam says of the family: Transfer RNA (tRNA) molecules are approximately 80 nucleotides in length. Their secondary structure includes four short double-helical elements and three loops (D, anti-codon, and T loops). Further hydrogen bonds mediate the characteristic L-shaped molecular structure. tRNAs have two regions of fundamental functional importance: the anti-codon, which is responsible for specific mRNA codon recognition, and the 3' end, to which the tRNAs corresponding amino acid is attached (by aminoacyl-tRNA synthetases). tRNAs cope with the degeneracy of the genetic code in two manners: having more than one tRNA (with a specific anti-codon) for a particular amino acid; and 'wobble' base-pairing, i.e. permitting non-standard base-pairing at the 3rd anti-codon position. Lineage: Eukaryota; Evosea; Eumycetozoa; Acytosteliales; Acytosteliaceae. The record is from RNAcentral.